Molecule: ribosomal RNA, 256 nt
Filed under: uncultured Gardnerella sp.
Lineage: Bacteria; Bacillati; Actinomycetota; Actinomycetes; Bifidobacteriales; Bifidobacteriaceae
Description: partial 16S ribosomal RNA
Rfam family: Bacterial small subunit ribosomal RNA
Source: RNAcentral
CGGACGGGUGAGUAAUGCGUGACCAACCUGCCCCAUGCUCCAGAAUAGCUCUUGGAAACGGGUGGUAAUGCUGGAUGCUCCAACUUGACGCAUGUCUUGUUGGGAAAGUGUUUAGUGGCAUGGGAUGGGGUCGCGUCCUAUCAGCUUGUAGGCGGGGUAAUGGCCCACCUAGGCUUCGACGGGUAGCCGGCCUGAGAGGGCGGACGGCCACAUUGGGACUGAGAUACGGCCCAGACUCCUACGGGAGGCAGCAGAU